RNAcentral lists this ribosomal RNA (250 nucleotides) under uncultured bacterium. RNAcentral's name for it is "partial 16S ribosomal RNA". It matches the Rfam family "Bacterial small subunit ribosomal RNA", at positions 524 to 773 of the family's 1533-position model. The record is from RNAcentral.
UACGGAGGGUGCUAGCGUUGUUCGGAAUUACUGGGCGUAAAGCGCACGUAGGCGGGCUUGUAAGUCGAUUGUGAAAGCCCCGGGCUCAAUCCGGGAAUUGCAGUCGAAACUACAAGUCUUGAAUACCCAAGAGGGUGGGGGAAUUCCUGGUGUAGAAGUGAAAUUCGUAGAUAUCAGGAGGAACACCGGAGGCGAAGGCGCCUGCCUGGUGGUGUAUUGACGCUAAGGUGCGAAAGCGUGGGGAGCAAAC